Molecule: ribosomal RNA, 510 nt
Filed under: uncultured bacterium
Lineage: Bacteria
Description: partial 16S ribosomal RNA
Rfam family: Bacterial small subunit ribosomal RNA
Source: RNAcentral
GACGAACGCUGGCGGCGUGCUUAACACAUGCAAGUCGAACGAAGAGCGAUGGAAGCUUGCCUCUAUCAAUCUUAGUGGCGAACGGGUGAGUAACGCGUAAUCAACCUGCCCUUCAGAGGGGGACAACAGUUGGAAACGACUGCUAAUACCGCAUACGAUCUAAUCUCGGCAUCGAGGAUAGAUGAAAGGUGGCCUCUACAUGUAAGCUAUCACUGAAGGAGGGGAUUGCGUCUGAUUAGCUAGUUGGAGGGGUAACGGCCCACCAAGGCGAUGAUCAGUAGCCGGUCUGAGAGGAUGAACGGCCACAUUGGGACUGAGACACGGCCCAGACUCCUACGGGAGGCAGCAGUGGGGAAUCUUCCGCAAUGGACGAAGGUCUGACGGAGCAACGCCGCGUGAGCGAUGACGGCCUUCGGGUUGUAAAGCUCUGUUAAUCGGGACGAAAGGCCUUCUUGCGAAUAGUGAGAAGGAUUGACGGUACCGGAAUAGAAAGCCACGGCUAACUACGUG